GCCGGAGUGGCGGAAUGGCAGACGCACGGGUCUCAAAAACCCGCGGGGGCAACUCCAUGUGGGUUCGACUCCCACCUUCGGCACCA
This 86-nucleotide transfer RNA is filed under the name Roseiflexaceae bacterium. RNAcentral describes it as "tRNA-Leu". It matches the Rfam family "tRNA". From Rfam's summary of the family: Transfer RNA (tRNA) molecules are approximately 80 nucleotides in length. Lineage: Bacteria; Bacillati; Chloroflexota; Chloroflexia; Chloroflexales; Roseiflexaceae. The record is from RNAcentral.